Molecule: ribosomal RNA, 254 nt
Filed under: uncultured bacterium
Lineage: Bacteria
Description: partial 16S ribosomal RNA
Rfam family: Bacterial small subunit ribosomal RNA
Source: RNAcentral
CACGUAGGGUGCGAGCGUUGUCCGGAAUUAUUGGGCGUAAAGAGCUCGUAGGCGGUGUGUCGCGUCGGCCGUGAAAACCUGCAGCUUAACUGUGGGCGUGCGGUCGAUACGGGCAUCACUGGAGUUCGGCAGGGGAGACUGGAAUUCCUGGUGUAGCGGUGAAAUGCGCAGAUAUCAGGAGGAACACCAGUGGCGAAGGCGGUUUCCUGGGGCAUUCUUGACGCUGAGGCGCGAAAGCUGGGGGAGCGAACGGG